Molecule: non-coding RNA, 58 nt
Organism: Mesocricetus auratus (golden hamster)
Lineage: Eukaryota; Metazoa; Chordata; Mammalia; Rodentia; Cricetidae
Source: Rfam
UGGCUCAGUGGUUAAGAGCACUGACUGCUCUUCCAGAGGACCUGGGUUCAAAUCCCAG